AAUAAGUUUGUUUUUCAGUUUUAGGAUAGAAUGUUUGACUCUUCGUCUGAUUUGAAAGUUUUGUGCUAUUAAUACUUUUUAUUGUUAUUAUAUGAUAAAACAUAAAUAAUAUUUUGUGCGUGAAUAAUUUUUUUGAGUUUUUUCUAUAAAUUUUUUAAAUAAGAUGGAUGGUCAAACACUUGACACAAAAACCGAUAAAUGAGGUUUUU
Molecule: microRNA precursor, 209 nt
Filed under: Oryza brachyantha (malo sina)
Lineage: Eukaryota; Viridiplantae; Streptophyta; Magnoliopsida; Poales; Poaceae
Description: MIR812 microRNA precursor family
Rfam family: MIR812 microRNA precursor family
Source: Rfam by way of RNAcentral